Long non-coding RNA from Zingiber officinale, 802 nucleotides. RefSeq lists it as uncharacterized. The record is from RefSeq and is a predicted model, not a curated record. NCBI's taxonomy places the organism in Eukaryota, Viridiplantae, Streptophyta, Magnoliopsida, Zingiberales, Zingiberaceae. The transcript has 2 exons.
CGGCUGAUCAGGAAGGCAAAAGCUUCAGCAUACAGGUCGAAUCGAUGGAGGAUCCCGACUCACUUACAACGAGGGUUGCGGCUUCUCGCGCUUCGGCGGCGGAGGUCACACUCACGGCGGCAAUUCAAACUGGAUGAAAUGGCAAGGUGGGAGUUUUCGUACAGGAAGAAGGGCCAAAUAGGGUUGCGGCUGCGCUUCCUGCGGAGGAACCGUUGGAUGCCCUCCUCCGUGACUGAUGUGUCACGCAUCGGAGUGAAAUGAUGAGAAAAAACCCUAAACUUCCAAAUUGGUUUGGUUUGUGCUUCAACCUCUUUAUUUUCUUUUCGUGCUACUCUUUUAGCAGUUUUGCUAUGGCUGCGUCGUUUUUCUUCAGAUCGAUUCAGCGCCUUCCUCUCCGUACUCCCGGAACCUUCGCCGCCCAACAAAUCCGCCGUUUCCCCUCAUUCUCCAGGAUUCCCGUUGAACUGGGUUGCUGCGGUGCCUCUCUCUUUCCUUUCCACAGCGCGGUGGCGGCGGCGAGGAUGACUUCGCGGCUGAGCUUGGCAUCUCGGAGCAAUCGAGAUAUCUCACAGUGCUUCCUUGGCUACGCUUGCCGAGGACCCUAGAACACUCGACGCUUUAUCAGUACUUGAAUUGUCUGUACUUGGCCUCCCUUGGUUCAUCUUUCAAUCAUCAACAUUCAUGUCUUGUGUUGAGGAUGGUUUUCUUUGCUCAAAAGUUAUUGAUUCGGUUGCUAAUCAUUGAAUAACUAUCCUCGUCUUUUUGUUGCAAACCUGGGAUAGGAUUCUUGAGGAAUUACAUA